UGGGGAAUUUUGGACAAUGGGCGAAAGCCUGAUCCAGCAAUGCCGCGUGUGUGAAGAAGGCCUUCGGGUUGUAAAGCACUUUUGUCCGGAAAGAAAUCCUUGGCUCUAAUACAGUCGGGGGGAUGACGGUACCGGAAGAAUAAGCACCGGCUAACUACGUGCCAGCAGCCGCGGUAAUACGUAGGGUGCAAGCGUUAAUCGGAAUUACUGGGCGUAAAGCGUGCGCAGGCGGUUUGCUAAGACCGAUGUGAAAUCCCCGGGCUCAACCUGGGAACUGCAUUGGUGACUGGCAGGCUAGAGUAUGGCAGAGGGGGGUAGAAUUCCACGUGUAGCAGUGAAAUGCGUAGAGAUGUGGAGGAAUACCGAUGGCGAAGGCAGCCCCCUGGGCCAAAUACUGACGCUCAUGCACGAAAGCGUGGGGAGCAAACAGGAUUAGAUACCCUGGUAGUCCACGCCCUAAACGAUGUCAACUAGUUGUUGGGGAUUCAUUUCCUUAGUAACGUAGCUAACGCGUGAAGUUGACCGCCUGGGGAGUACGGUCGCAAGAUU
RNAcentral lists this ribosomal RNA (549 nucleotides) under uncultured bacterium. RNAcentral's name for it is "partial 16S ribosomal RNA". It matches the Rfam family "Bacterial small subunit ribosomal RNA", at positions 355 to 895 of the family's 1533-position model. The record is from RNAcentral.